GACGUAGGUGGCGAACGUUAUCCGGAAUUAUUGGACGUAAAGGGUGCGUAGGUGGCCUGACAAGUUAUCAGUGGCAAAUCGAGGCUCAACCUCGUAGAAACUGGUAAUACUGUUCGGCUUGAGUACAGGAGAGGUUAACGGAACUCUAUGUGAAGCGGUAAAAUGCACAGAUAUAUGGAAGAACAUCAAUAAAGGCGAAGGCAGUUAACUAUUCUGUUACUGACGCUGAGGCACGAAAGCGUGGGGAGCAAAACGG
RNAcentral lists this ribosomal RNA (256 nucleotides) under uncultured bacterium. RNAcentral's name for it is "partial 16S ribosomal RNA". It matches the Rfam family "Bacterial small subunit ribosomal RNA", at positions 524 to 776 of the family's 1533-position model. The record is from RNAcentral.